This is a non-coding RNA of Podarcis lilfordi (Lilford's wall lizard), 1760 nucleotides long. NCBI's taxonomy places the organism in Eukaryota, Metazoa, Chordata, Lepidosauria, Squamata, Lacertidae. The record is from the annotation of a GenBank genome assembly.
AACCAUUUCAGGGACUAACUGUCAAUGGAUGGACCCUGAUGGAGAUUCUGAGCAAGGACAUUUCACUGGGUACCAGAGUGAGAUGGAGAUGAAAACCAGGAUUUCCAGAUGAAAGGGUUAGAUGAAGUCGACAAAACAGCCCUUGACUGUGCCAAGAGGGUCUUGAGCAGGAGACAAGGCCAGCGGGGGAGAUUUUUCCACCUUUGUGGCAGGGCUCUGAAAAGCUUGUGGGAGAGGCAGAGGACCAGGAGUGGGGAGUGGUGAUUUAUGGGAUAUGUCACCACCCGCAAGGCAGGAGCCAGAAUGCCAGUCCCUGACAUUCCAGCAAAACAGAAAAGGCCACCGUCUCUACAUCAUCCUCCCUGCCUGCCCACCACCAGAGAUGCAGAGGAAGUUGCCACAGCAGCUAUGGCAGGUGGCAGCACUGGAGGCAGGUAUGGGACGUGGGUGGCACUGUGGUCUAAACUAUCGAGCCUCUUGGGCUUGCCAAUCGGAAGGUCAGUGGUUUGAAUCCCCGCAACGGGGUGAGCUCCCAUUGCUCUGUCCCAGCUCCUGCCAACCUAGCAGUUCAAAAGCACGCCAGUACAAGUAGAUGAAGAGGUACCACUGUGGCAUAAAGGUAAACAGCGUUUCUGUGCACUCUGGCUUCUGUCAUGGUGUCCCGUUGCACCAGUAGCAGUUUAGUCAUGCUGGUCACAUGACCCAGAAAGCUGUCUGUGGACAUCUCGGCCUGAAAGCGAGAUGAGCGCCGCAACCCCAUAGUCACCUUUGACAGGACUUAACCAUCCAGGGAUCCUUUACCUUUUUUACUUUUAGUGGCAACAGUAAAGGGGGUGUCUGUGCACAGAGGUGGUGAAUAUGGUAGCAGCCAGCACCCCAUAGAGCAGCGGGCAAGGAGGCAGUAGCUGUGGAGGCUAGUUCUACCGCCUGAGGUGCCUGCCUGGCCGCACCUGGUAGGAGAGGCCCCGAUAACAAUAUUGCAAGUCCAGCUACCGCAAGGCAGAAACAGGCAGCUGUGGAGGAACAGCCAUCGAAUCUACUGCACACCCAGUUAUUGGUGGGGAAAUGCUUUUUGCUGCAAUCGGGGACCUAAUCGGGAUUCACUUUGCUCAUGAGGAAUCCAGUGGGACAAGGAAUAAGGCUCAGUCUUUGAGUGUGGCAUCAGUCAUACUUUGGAACUCUCUGCCUAUGAACCUCAGACGGGCAUCUUCACUGUGCUUUUUCGGUGCCUGCUGAGAACUGUUAGGAUUUUAGGUAGCCGAUUCUGGCUAGUGUGAUUAGUAUAAAUCACAUGAGAUGUCUGAGAAGAGUGUGGGAAUGGAAGACUGUCUUAUCUCUUCCGUCUGAGAGGGUUACAGUCAUACCUCUUGCUACAUUCGGUUCAGGUUACGUCUUUUCAGGUUGCGUCCCUCGGCGACCCGGAAGUACUGGAAAGGGUUACUUCUGGGUUUCGCCGCUCGUGCAUGUGCAUACGAGCAAAAUGACAUCACACGUAUGCGCAGAAGUGGCGAAUCAUGACCUGCGUGUGCACAGACGUGCAGACACGGGUUGCGUUCCUCUCAGGUUGCGAACGGGGCUCCGGAACGGAUCCUGUUCGCAACCAAAGGUACCACAGUACAGUGGUACCUCGGGUUACAUACGCUUCAGGUUACAUGCGCUUCAGGUUACAGACUCUGCUAACCCAGAAAUAUUACUUCGGGUUAAGAACUUUGCUUCAGGAUGAGAACAGAAAUCGUGCUCCGGUGGCGCAGCAGCAACAG